Molecule: non-coding RNA, 1410 nt
Organism: Macaca mulatta (Rhesus monkey)
Lineage: Eukaryota; Metazoa; Chordata; Mammalia; Primates; Cercopithecidae
Source: RefSeq, a predicted model, not a curated record
CCUAAGUAUAUACAACUGUUUUGUACCCAUAAUAAUUAAUUUUUAAAAUAGAAGAAAAAUAAAGUGAAUAUCCUGGUUGGAUGUGAUUAGUAGGUGCUCUUGGUUAAAUGCCUCAUGAUUUCAUAAUUAAGAUUUCAUAGUCUUAAUGCUGUGGCUUUAUUUUAACCAGUUAUUCUUUAAGGAUUCUGGAUUUAUGAGCAUUCCAGAAGACAGUGUUGUAGGAGGCAGGCUUUUGAACUAGCAAGAUCUGGGGUUGAAACCCUGACAUUCUAGUUGUGAUACCUUAGGCAGAUACCUUAACAUUUUCUGAGACUUGAUUUCUUAAUCUGUAAAAUAAGGAUUGUAAGUCCUACCACCUAAGGUAUUAAAAAGGUUAAAUGAACCAUAUAUGCAAAAGAAUAGUAGUGCCUGCUGAUUAGAAGUUAUUUAAUGAAUGUUGGUUACUUCCCAUUUAAAAUUCCUUCCCUUCUCGCUGAAGUAAAAAUUCUGUGAUGGACUGAAUAUCAAUAGUAAAAUAAAUAGUUGUCUAGUGAAAAGACUCAGAUCCCCCAGUUUUCGUCAACAGCCAUAUCUUUAGUUUUAAGUCAUAAAAUCGAUUGGAUAGACAUGCUCCCUAUCUUCAUGACUUACAAUUCAGAUGAUGUUCGUGGUUUGAGGUAUACAUCCUGGAAGAAGGAUUUUUGCUCAUUAAUAAUAAUAUUCAUUGUCAUCAUCAAACAACAAAUCUUAUAAGCUGAUUAAUACUCUGGAAAAUAACACAUAUAAUAGUCAUGUUUCUUCCUUAUCCCAGGAUAUCCCAGAGCAACUCUGCUAAAGUAUCCUUAGAGAACAAUUUAAUAUUAAUAAAAGAAGCAAAUCAGAAGUCUGAUUUAAAUGCUAGAUCUGUUACUACAGUCUCUAAAAAAAUUUUUUGCCAUUCUAUCUCAAUUAUUUAUCCACAAAAGAAAGACUUGUGAUAUAGUACUUACUUUUUUUAAAAUAAAGUUUUGGAUCUGAAGUGGAUUUGCGCCAAAGCAGCAGCUGCAUUGCCACAGUUCUGUCUUCACCUUCACCAUGUUCCUCUUGGUCAAAAAUGCACUAAGUUGCCUCCAAAUUCAAAGCAUUCAGCAAACAAUGGCAAGGCAGAGCCACCACAAACGUACACCUGAUUUUCAUGAUAAAUACGGUAGUGCUGUAUUAGCUAGUGGAGCCACUUUCUGUAUGGAGAUAUGUAGCAAUACAAAUCGGAACAGAAUGGAACCUGUCCCCUGUUGGCAGAGUCACCCCAAAGGAAGGGAGAGAUCGGUAAUCAUCCCAGCUGGUGUAAUAAUGAAUUGUUUAAAAAACAACUCAUAAUUGAUGCCAAGUUAAAGCACUGUGUACCCAUUAAGAUAUGGCAUUAUUGAAGAAAUAAAGUACAUUCGAAACCUU